GUGCCAGCAGCCGCGGUAAUACGGAGGGAGCGAGCGUUGUCCGGAAUUACUGGGUGUAAAGGGAGCGUAGGCGGGGAUGCAAGUUGGGUGUCAAAACUACCGGCUCAACUGGUAGUCGCACUCUAAACUGCAUCUCUUGAGUGAAGUAGAGGCAGGCGGAAUUCCUAGUGAAGCGGUGAAAUGCGUAUAUAUUAGGAGGAACACCAGUGGCGAAGGCGGCCUGCUGGGUUUUUACUGGCGCUGAGGAUCGAAAGUGUGGGGAGCAAACAGGAUUAGAUACCCUGGUACUCCACACCGUAAACGAUGAUUACUAGGUGGGGGGGGUCUGACCCCUUUCGUGCCGGAGUUAACACAAUAAGUAAUCCACCUGGGGAGUACGGCCGCAAGGUUGAAACUCAAAGGAAUUGACGGGGGCCCGCACAAGCAGUGGAGUAUGUGGUUUUAUUCUAAGCAACGCGAACAACCUUACCAGGUCUUGACAUCGUGCGCAUAGCUCAGAGAUGAGUGACCCCCUGCGGGGCGCAUAGACAGGGUGAUGCAUGGUUGUCGUCACCCUCGUGUGGAGAGUAGGUUGGGUUAAGUCCCGCAACGAGCGCAACCCUUGUAUUUUAUUUGCUACGCAAGAGCACUCUUAGAUAGCCUGGCAGUUGAAAAAACGGAGG
Molecule: ribosomal RNA, 662 nt
Filed under: uncultured bacterium
Lineage: Bacteria
Description: bacterial SSU rRNA
Rfam family: Bacterial small subunit ribosomal RNA
Source: RNAcentral